RNAcentral lists this ribosomal RNA (403 nucleotides) under uncultured bacterium. RNAcentral describes it as "partial 16S ribosomal RNA". It matches the Rfam family "Bacterial small subunit ribosomal RNA", at positions 30 to 526 of the family's 1533-position model. The record is from RNAcentral.
AUUGAACGCUGGCGGCAGGCCUAACACAUGCAAGUCGAGCGAGCGGCGGACGGGUGAGUAAUGUAUGGGGACUGCCCGAUAGAGGGGGAUAACUACUGGAAACGGUGGCUCAUACUGCAUACUAUCGGAUAACCCAUAUGGGAUUAGCCAGUAGGUGGGGUAAAGGCUCACCUGGGCGACGAUCUCUAGCUGGUCUGAGAGGAUGAUCAGCCACACUGGGACUGUGAAACGGCCCAGACUCCUACGGAGGCAGCAGAUGGGAAUAUUGCGCAAUGGGCGCAAGCCUGAUGGAGCCAUGCCGCGUGUAUGAAGAAGGCAUUAGGGUUGUAAAGUACUUUCAGCGGGGAGGCGUUACCCGAAGAAGAAGCACCGGCUAACUCCGUGCCAGCAGCCGCGGUAAUAC